Molecule: non-coding RNA, 79 nt
Organism: Podarcis lilfordi (Lilford's wall lizard)
Lineage: Eukaryota; Metazoa; Chordata; Lepidosauria; Squamata; Lacertidae
Source: the annotation of a GenBank genome assembly
GGCCAGUGGUGGUUUAACGGUUAGAGCUUUGGACUGCUAGGACCUGGGAGAGACCAGGGUUCAAAUCCCCACUUGGCCA